Non-coding RNA from Oryza barthii, 204 nucleotides. The record is from Rfam. NCBI's taxonomy places the organism in Eukaryota, Viridiplantae, Streptophyta, Magnoliopsida, Poales, Poaceae.
AAUAAACCUAGCCAUUAGUUUUCACGUCCAACUUUGAUCAUCCGUCUUAUUUAAAAAAAUUUUAUAAUUAGUAUUUUUGUUGUUAUGAGAUAAUAAAACAUAAAUAUUACUUUACUCGUGACUUAUGUUUUUAAUUUUUUUAAAAAAAUUUCAAAUAAGACGAACGGUUAAAGUUGGGCGCGAAAAACCAUUGUUAUACUUAUU